Molecule: small nuclear RNA, 183 nt
Filed under: Mesocricetus auratus (golden hamster)
Lineage: Eukaryota; Metazoa; Chordata; Mammalia; Rodentia; Cricetidae
Description: 7SK RNA
Rfam family: 7SK RNA
About the family: 7SK was discovered as an abundant small nuclear RNA in the mid-70s but a possible function has only recently been suggested. Two independent studies have found that 7SK RNA binds the CDK9/cyclin T complex (known as elongation factor P-TEFb).
Source: Rfam by way of RNAcentral
GGGUGUGAGAGGGAGCUGGCCGUGCCAUCUGUCACUCUGUUGAUUGCCGUGGUUAUUUUGGCUAGUCUGGCUGGCCAGGCUGGUGUCCCCAUCCUCCUCAUCACUCCCUGUGUGUUCCUCCCAAAGCCACUCUGUUGGUUUGACCUUAAAAAUGAAGGGAGGGAGGGGACAUAGCACUAGGUG